RNAcentral lists this ribosomal RNA (439 nucleotides) under Cutibacterium acnes. RNAcentral describes it as "bacterial SSU rRNA". It matches the Rfam family "Bacterial small subunit ribosomal RNA", at positions 28 to 467 of the family's 1533-position model. The record is from RNAcentral. Lineage: Bacteria; Bacillati; Actinomycetota; Actinomycetes; Propionibacteriales; Propionibacteriaceae.
GACGAACGCUGGCGGCGUGCUUAACACAUGCAAGUCGAACGGAAAGGCUCUGCUUUUGUGGGGUGCUCGAGUGGCGAACGGGUGAGUAACACGUGAGUAACCUGCCCUUGACUUUGGGAUAACUUCAGGAAACUGGGGCUAAUACCGGAUAGGAGCUCCUGCUGCAUGGUGGGGGUUGGAAAGUUUCGGCGGUUGGGGAUGGACUCGCGGCUUAUCAGCUUGUUGGUGGGGUAGUGGCUUACCAAGGCUUUGACGGGUAGCCGGCCUGAGAGGGUGACCGGCCACAUUGGGACUGAGAUACGGCCCAGACUCCUACGGGAGGCAGCAGUGGGGAAUAUUGCACAAUGGGCGGAAGCCUGAUGCAGCAACGCCGCGUGCGGGAUGACGGCCUUCGGGUUGUAAACCGCUUUCGCCUGUGACGAAGCGUGAGGACGUAAUG